GAUGAAGAACGUAGCGAAAUGCGAUAAGUAAUGUGAAUUGCAGAAUUCAGUGAAUCAUCGAAUCUUUGAACGCACAUUGCGCCCCCUGGUAUUCCGGGGGGCAUGUCUGUCCGAGCGUCAUUACAACCCUCAAGCUCAGCUUGGUGUUGGGCCCCGCCGCCCCGGCGGGCCCUAAAGUCAGUGGCGGUGCCGUCCGGCUCCGAGCGUAGUAAUUCUUCUCGCUCUGGAGGUCCGGUCGUGUGCUCGCCAGCAACCCCCAAUUUUUUUCAGGUUGACCUCGGAUCAGGUAGGGAUACCCGCUGAACUUAAGCAUAUCAAUAAGCGGAGGA
Molecule: unclassified non-coding RNA, 329 nt
Filed under: soil metagenome
Description: partial contains 5.8S ribosomal RNA, internal transcribed spacer 2, and large subunit ribosomal RNA
Rfam family: 5.8S ribosomal RNA (bases 1-120)
Source: RNAcentral